AUGGCUCAGGAUGAACGCUGGCGGCGUGCCUAACACAUGCAAGUCGAACGGAGCUUUAUGGAUCGAGACUUCGGUCAAGUGAAGUUUAAGCUUAGUGGCGGACGGGUGAGUAACGCGUGAGUAACCUGCCUUUCAGUGGGGGAUAACGUUUGGAAACGAACGCUAAUACCGCAUAACGUAUCGGGAUCGCAUGGUCUUGAUACCAAAGAUUUUAUCGCUGAAAGAUGGACUCGCGUCUGAUUAGAUAGUUGGUGAGGUAACGGCCCACCAAGUCGACGAUCAGUAGCCGGACUGAGAGGUUGAACGGCCACAUUGGGACUGAGACACGGCCCAGACUCCUACGGGAGGCAGCAGUGGGGAAUAUUGCACAAUGGGCGCAAGCCUGAUUGCAGCAACGCCGCGUGAGGGAUGACGGUUUUCGGAUUGUAAACCUCUGUCUUUGGUGACGAAGAAGUGACGGUAGCCAAGGAGGAAGCCACGGCUAACUACGUGCCAGCAGCCGC
Molecule: ribosomal RNA, 503 nt
Filed under: uncultured bacterium
Lineage: Bacteria
Description: bacterial SSU rRNA
Rfam family: Bacterial small subunit ribosomal RNA
Source: RNAcentral